This 762-nucleotide ribosomal RNA is filed under the name Triticum aestivum (bread wheat). Its description in RNAcentral is "partial small subunit ribosomal RNA". Lineage: Eukaryota; Viridiplantae; Streptophyta; Magnoliopsida; Poales; Poaceae. The record is from RNAcentral.
AUGGUGCCGAGGCUGGAGCGCGGCGGCUUCCAGCUCCCGAACUCCGAGCAGGAGAACUCCCUCUUCCUCCGCGCCCUCAUCUCCGUCGUGUCCGGGGACACAGCGGCCCCCGCCCCGCACCAGCUGGCGCCGUCGACGCCGCCCUUUGCUCCCGCUCCGGCGACUGCGGCUGCUGCGUGCGCCAGGUGCGGCGUGGACGGGUGCCUCGGCUGCGAGUUUGUCGCUGCGGCCGCGGCGACGACCGGGUCGAGCAGCGAGGGGGAGGAGUGCUCGGCCGCGAGCUUCGUGAAGAACGGCGGCGUGGGCAAGCGGCGGGCUGGAGGCGGCGGGAGCAAGUUCAGGGGCGUGCGGCAGCGGCCGUGGGGCAAGUGGGCGGCGGAGAUCCGCGACCCGCACCGCGCCGUGCGCAAGUGGCUCGGCACCUUCGACACCGCCGCGGAGGCCGCCCGCGCCUACGACGUCGCCGCGCUCGAGUUCCGCGGCCACCGCGCCAAGCUCAACUUCCCGGCGUCGUCGUCGUCGGCCUCCGCGUCCGCGUCUGCUACUGCUUCCUCCCGGGCGGCUACGCAGCCCCAUCCCCAGCGGCAGCAAAGGCCAGAGAGCCCUCGCGAGAAGUGCGGGUCAAAUGCGUCGUCGCCGGUGCACGUUCCGCGGCUGCCGGAGCAGGGGAGGCCGGUGGCGCGGGAGCAGGAGAUCUGGGACGGGCUGCACGAGAUCAUGAUGAUGGACGACGGCAACUUCUGGUCCAACCCCAAGCCAUGA